Lathyrus oleraceus (garden pea) is the source of this 2421-nucleotide long non-coding RNA. RefSeq lists it as uncharacterized. The record is from RefSeq and is a predicted model, not a curated record. Lineage: Eukaryota; Viridiplantae; Streptophyta; Magnoliopsida; Fabales; Fabaceae. The transcript is spliced from 5 exons.
UCUCAUUCACUCAUCUUGUUCAAGAUUUACUUUUUCUUUCUUGUUGUUUCGAAGAAUAGUGUAUUCUUAUUGUUUUGGAGUUUUCUAAAUUAGAGUUUUCUCUAUUUAUCCGUUCUUGUAAGUUUUGUUUGCAUCCUUCUAAUUAUUUUCUUAUUUUUGGAUUUUAUUUCAGGUUACCGACAGAUCCAUCUUCAUGUUACAAGCAAAUGUACGAGCUAUGGUUAAAGAUGGAGCAAGGACUAAAUCGUAGGCAAGGAAUGACAUGAGGAUGAAGCUAUAAUAUUUUUGAAUCGUAGUACAUGAAAGGUUCAAUUCAUAAUUUGAUAUCAUACAUGGUCUUGCUUAUGGUAGGUAUUGUUUCAUGUAAAACACAUACGAGAAGCAAAUAGAGAUGUUCAGUGAAAUGGUUUAUGAAAAACUGAGAUAUUCAAUCACAAUUUCAACUCUAAAAGAUUUGAUCAACAAUAAUACUGGAACAUGAAUUUCAUAGGCAUUCUGGAAUUGAAGAAAAUGGUCUGUUGUGUCUCAACGAGUAGUCGAAGUACUUGUAGCAGCAAGAGAAACAGAGAUAUGAUCACUCCAUCUUGCGUCCCCCGAUCUUUCCAAUCUUAAAAGGAGGAUUAGAGAUUGUCCGCGUUCUUUCCAAUUUUAAGUCAUUGAGGCAAGAUGAGGCGACAAGGAAGAAAUAUGUUGAACAUAUUAAGAAUGAGAUACGAUCAUGCUAUGCCUAUAAUGAGUUUCUAAUCGGUACUUUAGUGGAGGUUGAAAUAAUUAUAUUAUUACUACCUCUCUUUUGAACUUUAAUUCCAUUGAGCACUCUGUCCAAUUUUUAUCAGUUAACUCUCUAUACAGGUCUCUGGAAAAUAGAGUUUUGUUUUGUUGACUUUUAGUUAGGGAUUCAUCGAAACUGAUUCUCAAGUACCAAUUGGUGUCACUCCAUAGUAUAUGGUAGGUUUUUACAUGGUAAGUGGUUUUCUGUAGUAGCAGUUCUUCGUUGCAUUUCAUUUAGGAUUACAAAUUACACUCAGUUUUGUGUUUUUUUUAAAACUUUUUGUAGAUACUAAGAUGGGGUUUCUCUCAUCCUAAUGUUUAAGAAUUUGUAAUGUUUGUAGGACCGGAAUAAGAUGGUUUCAACCGUACAUUACUUCCAGAAAUAUAAUGUGUGUUUAGUAAAAAUAUUAUGUGUAGAAUCGUUUUGGCCAAGGGUAGAUUUUAUGUUUUUUUUAUGGGAUCUAUUUAAUUAAAAGUUCUUAGAAUAAUAUUUAAUAUCCAACUAUUCAAUUGAUACUGUUACAAUUUAAUAUUUAUUUUCACAAGGAUUGACAUAGUAGCUUCAUCCUCAUGUCAUUCAAUGCAUGUUGCUGGUAUGUUCAUCAUAUUAUAUUAUGGUGUAUUCACUAUAAUAUUUUUGAAUGAUUUAAUGUGUUAUUUAUAGCUUGAUUGAAAUAUCAAUGAAUGACCAUAUGAUUUCUAAUUAAUAUGACAGGUUUAGUGCAUGUAUUGCCUAUGUGUUAUACAACUAUUGUCUUUUUAAUAUGACAGGUUCAUGUUUUGUUUUCAUGUCUUUUUGCAGAUCAAGAGUGGUUCCUGUUCCACUGAAUUUCUCCAUAAUGUGCAAAAGUUUGCUUCUUGGGGCAAUAGGAUAAUGACAAAAUUGCCUUAUACUUAACUUAACAACUGUGAUUGUAUAAUAUUAAGGCCUUUUGAAUCUGAUGAUUUUGUGUUCUUUUGGAAUUGUAUGGUGCUGUUAUGCAGAUGUGGAUCUCAGAUUUUGGGGUAUAUUAGUAUUAAUUAUAGUUCUCCAACACUUGUUAAAGAUGGAAAAGUUAGCUAUAAAGAGUAGAAGUAGCAAUGCUAAGGUAAUGGGAAGCAUAAUAUCAAUAGCAGGUGCUUUUGUCUUGACUUUCUACAAAGGAAAAUCCAUCUUGAAUUCCUCAUCACUUCAUCAAUCAAAUGAAUUUCUCAAGUCAGGGGAUUCAAGUUGGGCCAUUGCUUGCAUUAUGCUAAUAGUGGACUAUUUUCUGGUUUCUCUAUGGUACAUUUUACAGGUCCAUAUGAAGGAGUUCCCAUAUGAACUAAGUUUAGUCUUGUUAUACUCCAUUAGUGCAACCAUAAUAUCAACAUUUGUAGCUUUGUUAUCAGUUCCAAAUGCAAGUGCUUGGAAAAUAGGACUAAAUCUCUCACUCAUCUCCAUUGUUUCCUCUGUAAGUUGUACUGCAAAUAGGAUUAAAGGAUUGAGCAUUGCAUUUGAAACUGCUCUUUACUGCAAACAAGUUCUUUAGCUUGUUCUUUUUGUUUAACUUAUAUUUAUAUGUAUUUUUUUAGAUUGAAGAAAAAGAGUCUCCAUUGGUUCUAUAUUCAUGAGUAAUUCAAUUGUAAAUUAAUUAAUUCCCAUUAAUUUUUUUUUGCUUUUGAUUUGUA